Molecule: ribosomal RNA, 854 nt
Filed under: uncultured bacterium
Lineage: Bacteria
Description: bacterial SSU rRNA
Rfam family: Bacterial small subunit ribosomal RNA
Source: RNAcentral
AGAGUUUGAUCCUGGCUCAGAUUGAACGCUGGCGGCAGGCUUAACACAUGCAAGUCGAACGGUAACAGGAGAAAGCUUGCUUUCUUGCUGACGAGUGGCGGACGGGUGAGUAAUGCUUGGGAAUCUGGCUUAUGGAGGGGGAUAACUACGGGAAACUGUAGCUAAUACCGCGUAAUAUCUUCGGAUUAAAGGGUGGGACUUUCGGGCCACCUGCCAUAAGAUGAGCCCAAGUGGGAUUAGGUAGUUGGUGGGGUAAAGGCCUACCAAGCCGACGAUCUCUAGCUGGUCUGAGAGGAUGACCAGCCACACUGGAACUGAGACACGGUCCAGACUCCUACGGGAGGCAGCAGUGGGGAAUAUUGCACAAUGGGGGGAACCCUGAUGCAGCCAUGCCGCGUGAAUGAAGAAGGCCUUCGGGUUGUAAAGUUCUUUCGGUGAUGAGGAAGGUGUUUGUUUUAAUAGAACAAGCAAUUGACGUUAGUCACAGAAGAAGCACCGGCUAACUCCGUGCCAGCAGCCGCGGUAAUACGGAGGGUGCGAGCGUUAAUCGGAAUGACUGGGCGUAAAGGGCACGCAGGCGGUGACUUAAGUGAGAUGUGAAAGCCCCGAGCUUAACUUGGGAAUUGCAUUUCAUACUGGGUCGCUAGAGUAUUUUAGGGAGGGGUAGAAUUCCACGUGUAGCGGUGAAAUGCGUAGAGAUGUGGAGGAAUACCGAAGGCGAAGGCAGCCCCUUGGGAAUAUACUGACGCUCAUGUGCGAAAGCGUGGGGAGCAAACAGGAUUAGAUACCCUGGUAGUCCACGCUGUAAACGCUGUCGAUUUGGGGAUUGGGCUUAGAGCUUGGUGCCCGUAGCU